Rhododendron vialii is the source of this 994-nucleotide long non-coding RNA. RefSeq lists it as uncharacterized. The transcript is spliced from 2 exons. Lineage: Eukaryota; Viridiplantae; Streptophyta; Magnoliopsida; Ericales; Ericaceae. The record is from RefSeq and is a predicted model, not a curated record.
ACUGAUUUAUUUAAGCCAAGCAAGUACCGACCCAAUUGAUUGAGAGACUUAUAGCACUGUUUGAUAUGGGUUAAUGCAGCAGAUGAGUUUUAGUAUGGACAUAAUUGACUAGACAUUUAUUCAUAGAUAGAAAGUAUGGGUAAAUAUAGCAUUUGAAAUACAAUUAAUUACCCACUCUCAUGCAAAAAUUAUCCACUAAACAAAAAGGGUGGUAAUGUUCCCAAAUACUAGUAGUCUCACUGAUUUUUAUCAAUAUGAGCUGCGUUUUCUCAAACAAAAUAUCGAAGUCAGAUAUCUUGAAUUUCACAAAUCCUCAAACAAAAUAUCAAAGUCAGAUUAUCUCGAAUUUCACAAAUCUCGACCAACCAUUCCGACCCAAGUUUUUUUCACAUAUAUAAGCAUCUCCAUCAAACACUUCAAAUGUAAGCAGGAACUUUAAGAGUCCAAAAUUGCUACUACUAUGUUGGAGCUAUAUUAAACUCUUCGAAUCUGAUCCAAAAAAGAAAAAGUAGGCUCCUCGAAAAUCAACUCAUCUUUCAAGUACAAUAAGGAAAUUGGGUACUACUAGUUUUUACCUGUUACCCUUUCUGUUCUACAGCACAUUCGACAUCUCUUGUAAUAACCAAACUCAUUGACCCACCAAAGCGACCAAUAGCGGAAAAAAGAAGAAGGAGAAGAAAAGGUAUAGCCCAUGCUAUCAAUGUAUUUUACAUUAUACAUAGUUUCAUUUUAGCUCGGUUCCUUGUUGGGAGAUGAGUUGAGGUGGAGGGAAAGCACAUCACCCUCUCAAUAGCCCACUCCCACCGUACCCAAUCUGCUAGGGAAACAAAACCUAAUCAGUUUGAAUACAGUUUUUGAAUUUCACAAAUGGUGAGAACCAGGGUAAACAAACAUGCUACAGAUCAAAACAAAAAAGGGGCAAAGAGAAAGCGGAAAACAGAAGCAAAAGAGCGGAUACAGGGAGUUAGCAAAGUAAAUGGUACUGAUUUCCAGC